UAGUGUAUAUAUAUGAAAAUGAGAACGAUAGAGAGAGAGAGAGUAAUGAUGCGUGUGGAUUGUGGGAGUGGGUGGGACAUAAGAAAAUAAUAGCAUUUGGUGGCACUAACCAUGUCCAUGUGAGAAUGGUCUAUGCUUUUGUGUACACUAUGGAGUGCACCUAAUCCUUUUACUCCUUUGAGCAGUGAUGACUUACUCUAUGAUCCGAUAUCCUCAUCAACAACGCGCUUAUUUAGUAGUGGCCAUUUCUCAAAGUUAGUGGCACCAAGGUAUGGAGAUGGAUGCCUAUGAAAGCUAAGAGAAAGAGAAAAAGAAAAAGGACAGGGGUGAACAAUUUCAAAAGGAUGGAUUGAAGGUAAAGAAGCGCUUCUUGGAAGUUUCUUUGUGCAAGAAAUGAGA
This is a non-coding RNA of Arachis ipaensis, 399 nucleotides long. Lineage: Eukaryota; Viridiplantae; Streptophyta; Magnoliopsida; Fabales; Fabaceae. The record is from RefSeq and is a predicted model, not a curated record.